RNAcentral lists this unclassified non-coding RNA (353 nucleotides) under soil metagenome. RNAcentral's name for it is "partial contains 5.8S ribosomal RNA, internal transcribed spacer 2, and large subunit ribosomal RNA". The stretch from base 1 to 120 matches the Rfam family "5.8S ribosomal RNA", at positions 35 to 154 of the family's 154-position model. The record is from RNAcentral.
GAUGAAGAACGUAGCGAAAUGCGAUAAGUAAUGUGAAUUGCAGAAUUCAGUGAAUCAUCGAAUCUUUGAACGCACAUUGCGCCCGCCAGUAUUCUGGCGGGCAUGCCUGUUCGAGCGUCAUUACAACCCUCAGGCCCCCGGGCCUGGCGUUGGGGAUCGGCGGAGCGCCCCCUGCGGGCACACGCCGUCCCCCAAAUACAGUGGCGGUCCCGCCGCAGCUUCCAUUGCGUAGUAGCUAACACCUCGCAACUGGAGAGCGGCGCGGCCACGCCGUAAAACACCCAACUUCUGAAUGUUGACCUCGAAUCAGGUAGGAAUACCCGCUGAACUUAAGCAUAUCAAUAAGCGGAGGA